Calidris pygmaea (Spoon-billed sandpiper) is the source of this 120-nucleotide ribosomal RNA. Lineage: Eukaryota; Metazoa; Chordata; Aves; Charadriiformes; Scolopacidae. The record is from Ensembl.
GCCUGUCGCCAUGCUAGACUCAAUGCACCCAGUUUUGCUUCGUCUUGGAAGCUGAACAGUCCCAGGCCUGGCUAGCAUUUCAAUGCGGAGACCAUCUGGGAAUUCAGUGUGCCAUGGGCA